GGGGGGGGGGGGGGGGGGGGGGGGGGGGGGGGGGGGGGGGGGGGGGGGCGGGGGUGUGUGGGGGGCUCGAGUGGCGGACGGGGGAGUAACACGUGGGUAACCUGCCCUUGACUUUGGGAGAACUUCAGGAAACUGGGGCUAAUCCCGGAUAGGAGCUCCUGCUGCGUGGUGGGGGGUGGAAAGUUUCGGCGGUUGGGGAGGGACUCGCGGCUUAUCAGCUUGUUGGUGGGGUAGUGGCUUACCAAGGCUUUGACGGGUAGCCGGCCUGAGAGGGUGACCGGCCACAUUGGGACUGAGAUACGGCCCAGACUCCUACGGGAGGCAGCAGUGGGGAAUAUUGCACAAUGGGCGGAAGCCUGAUGCAGCAACGCCGCGUGCGGGAUGACGGCCUUCGGGUUGUAAACCGCUUUCGCCUGUGACGAAGCGUGAGUGACGGUAAUGGGUAAAGAAGCACCGGCUAACUACGUG
This 468-nucleotide ribosomal RNA is filed under the name uncultured bacterium. Its description in RNAcentral is "partial 16S ribosomal RNA". The stretch from base 51 to 468 matches the Rfam family "Bacterial small subunit ribosomal RNA", at positions 39 to 507 of the family's 1533-position model. The record is from RNAcentral.